Molecule: ribosomal RNA, 200 nt
Filed under: uncultured bacterium
Lineage: Bacteria
Description: partial 16S ribosomal RNA
Rfam family: Bacterial small subunit ribosomal RNA
Source: RNAcentral
CAGCCUGCAACUCGGCUGCACGAAGCCGGAAUCGCUAGUAAUCGCAGAUCAGCAUGCUGCGGUGAAUACGUUCCCGGGUCUUGUACACACCGCCCGUCACACCAUGGGAGCCGGGAAUGCCCGAAGUCAGCGGCCCAACCGAAAGGAGGGAGCUGCCGAAGGCAGGCCUGGUGACUGGGGUGAAGUCGUAACAAGGUACC